GUUAGGAAUAUUGGACAAUGGACGCAAGUCUGAUCCAGCCAUGCCGCGUGAGUGAUGAAGGCCUUCGGGUUGUAAAGCUCUUUAGCCGAUGAUUAUAAUGACUGUAGUCGGAAAAUAAGCCCCGGCUAACUUCGUGCCAGCAGCCGCGGUAAUACGAAGGGGGCGAGCGUUAUUCGGAAUCACUGGGCGUAAAGCGUGCGUAGGCGGUUUUGUAAGUUGGGAGUGAAAGCCCAGGGCUCAACCCUGGAAUUGCUCUCAAAACUACAAGACUUGAAUUCGGGAGAGGAUAGCGGAAUUGUCAGUGUAGCAGUGAAAUGCGUAGAUAUUGACAGGAACACCAGUGGCGUAAGCGGCUAUCUGGACCGACAUUGACGCUGAGGCACGAAAGCGUGGGGAUCAAACAGGAUUAGAAACCCCAGUAGUCC
This 425-nucleotide ribosomal RNA is filed under the name uncultured bacterium. RNAcentral describes it as "partial 16S ribosomal RNA". It matches the Rfam family "Bacterial small subunit ribosomal RNA", at positions 354 to 796 of the family's 1533-position model. The record is from RNAcentral.